Small nucleolar RNA from Sorex fumeus (smoky shrew), 103 nucleotides. RefSeq annotates it as small nucleolar RNA U13. Lineage: Eukaryota; Metazoa; Chordata; Mammalia; Eulipotyphla; Soricidae. The record is from RefSeq and is a predicted model, not a curated record. The transcript has a single exon.
UUCUUUUUCCGGUUCAUAAGCAUGAUGACUGGUGUUCGCAUGCUUGUGUGACAUGUGCCUCCUUUAAAACUUGUUACUCAUUUGGUGUGUUGCCCAUCUGACG